This is a non-coding RNA of Podarcis lilfordi (Lilford's wall lizard), 120 nucleotides long. The record is from the annotation of a GenBank genome assembly. NCBI's taxonomy places the organism in Eukaryota, Metazoa, Chordata, Lepidosauria, Squamata, Lacertidae.
CUUCCAGUAGCACCUUAGAGACCAACUACCGUAAGUUUGUUAUUGGUAUGAGUUUUGUGCAUGCACAUGAAAGCUCAUACCAAUAACAAACUUAGUUGGUCUCUAAGGUGCUACUGGAAG